This 219-nucleotide ribosomal RNA is filed under the name uncultured bacterium. RNAcentral's name for it is "partial 16S ribosomal RNA". It matches the Rfam family "Bacterial small subunit ribosomal RNA", at positions 524 to 741 of the family's 1533-position model. The record is from RNAcentral.
UACAGAGGGUGCGAGCGUUGUCCGGAAUCACUGGGCGUAAAGGGCGCGUAGGUGGCGCCGCAAGUCCAUGGUGAAAGCUCGAUGCUCAACAUCGAGUCGGCCACGGAGACUGCGGGGCUCGAGCACUGUAGGGGCAGAUGGAAUUCCGGGUGUAGCGGUGGAAUGCGUAGAGAUCCGGAAGAACGACCGGUGGCGAAGGCGGUCUGCUGGGCAGUUGCU